This is a long non-coding RNA of Cyprinus carpio carpio, 1284 nucleotides long. The record is from Ensembl. Lineage: Eukaryota; Metazoa; Chordata; Actinopteri; Cypriniformes; Cyprinidae.
CGCCUGUGUUUCCAGGGGAAACCUAAUGACGCAAUGACGUCAAUGCAGGUCAACAGCAGACUGGAGGAAUUGAGCGCUUCCAUUAGAUUUUGCAGUAUUUUCCAGAAACGCGGAAAGGACAAAAUGGAUUAGUUUAAAAUGUACCAAAACACCAGUAUGUGUUUCUCACAUAUCCAUUUGAGAGGAGCACAUUUGCAUUUUAUGGAAUUAUUAUAAAACCAAAAGGAAAAAAAAGAUCUCGUCUUGCUUGAAGCAUCGCUCACACGACAGACAGUCUGAUGCAUGUUCUGUCUUCAUCUGUGGACUCAACACAUGGAGAAAACACCCUGUUUCAGAUGGUCUCUAUGGAGCGGAUUACAAGCACCUGUGUCUGUAUCGCUGUGACGAAAACCCCUUCUUUCCCCAUCUCUUCCACAAACUGUGGGUGUGUGCAGCACAGGGCGUUCACCGCGGCGGGUGGGUUUCAGCACAGUGGACAGCAGCCCGUUCAGCACAAUGGACAGCACCCGUUUAAUUAACACGCCUUCUUCAAUCAACCCGAAUGCACCACAUCGGCGCUUCCAGUACGUUUGUCUAUGCGUUUCUCCAUGCGCACCUAUGUAGUGUUUUAUCUCCCAGUGAUGGUCAUUUACACACAAGACACGAUAUAUAUGAACAUGGAGACAAAUACGGGCUAAAAUAAUUGUACUUCUUAGAUAAAGGCCGAUUAGAUACUUAGAUGGAGACAAAAACCCGCUAAAGUCGUCAAUCAGGGAGGAGAGCGCGCAUGGGAGGGCGACACUUUCAUACAUAUGACGCAUUUAGUGAGGUAAACCUAACGGAUGCCUACGUCAUCUACUCCGCUGGACCCCAACCAUCUUUGGCCCGGGUAACAAAUAGACGCAGAACACAAUGCUGUUAAAGGGUCGGAUUAAAGGGCGUUACACAUCCGGCACCUGGCGGUCUCAGGGUGCAUUUUGGCAGAAUUACACAGUUGAAAUUAUAUUUGAACUUGCGCAAACGGGAAAAAGUGACAGUGACGCAUAUGGGCUCCAAGAAUUGGCUUUUCACACUUUGCGCGAGAACGUGGCGUGAAGUUGGUUUAAGUGGACUUACCUGUGACGCGUGAAGUUUAGGCUGCACGUCAUAGAAACAAACAUUAUUGUCAAUUUUCGCAGGAAAGAGCUCUUGCGGCACAAUAAGAAACAGUAAAAUAAUGAUUCUCGUUUUAUGUAACUGAAUCAUUUAUGUUGUGUAAUUGUAGUAGUUUAAAUUAAGGCCUUUCUUGAUUUCGAGACAUUUCUU